This 28-nucleotide small RNA is filed under the name Bombyx mori (domestic silkworm). RNAcentral describes it as "ovarian small RNA-14085". Lineage: Eukaryota; Metazoa; Arthropoda; Insecta; Lepidoptera; Bombycidae. The record is from RNAcentral.
CCUUAGAUGUCCUAACAAUUGUGAAGGC